UUUUUUUAUAUGGUACUAGAAGAGCCUUUCUAAUCAUUCAUCUAUCAAUGCCUGCUAUGAUAUGCUUAUAGCUCAUGUAUACAUGCAUCUGAUUAGUGAUAUCUCCAGGUUUUUUUGAC
This is a non-coding RNA of Tinamus guttatus (white-throated tinamou), 119 nucleotides long. The record is from RefSeq and is a predicted model, not a curated record. NCBI's taxonomy places the organism in Eukaryota, Metazoa, Chordata, Aves, Tinamiformes, Tinamidae.